ACCUAAAAGUCCUUUGUGUAAUAGGUAUAAAGACCUCCUUAUCACUCUUCUCUGAGAUUUUCAUAGAAGAACCCUGCAUUUUGAUUUUGUUUGAUCAUUUUGCUUCUUGACUUUUCACUGAAGAUUCUGUUUCCCACUGGAAUUGAAUCCUUUUGGGAUAACAAAAUUUCACUUAAAAGCACAUUCUGUUAGAUAAUUCUAACUUUUGACAACCUCCAAGUGGCCUGCUAAUUUUUGCAAAUGGGCCAAAGCAGCACAAAUGUCAAAGAUAUAAGCUCUGUGUUUGCCUUGUAGUUAGCCAAGUAAAGAAAUGUCUAAUCCUAGCACUUAGAAGUGGCUUAAUGGCUUUCGGUUUAUCUCUGCAUUCCAAAUUGGUUGAAAAUGGCACAUUCAGAAUGGAAUGCUUAUUAAUAACAGAACUACUUAAUGUUUUAAAAUAGUCUUACCUUGAGAUUCUU
This 458-nucleotide long non-coding RNA is filed under the name Bos taurus (domestic cattle). RNAcentral's name for it is "long non-coding RNA NONBTAT026950". The record is from RNAcentral. Lineage: Eukaryota; Metazoa; Chordata; Mammalia; Artiodactyla; Bovidae.